RNAcentral lists this ribosomal RNA (404 nucleotides) under uncultured bacterium. RNAcentral's name for it is "bacterial SSU rRNA". It matches the Rfam family "Bacterial small subunit ribosomal RNA", at positions 354 to 774 of the family's 1533-position model. The record is from RNAcentral.
GUAGGGAAUAUUGCAAAAUGGGCGAAAGCCCGAUGCAGCAACGCCGCGUGGGCGAUGAAGGCCUUCGGGUCGUAAAGCCCUUUUUGAGGGGAUGAGGAAGGACAGUACCCUCAGAAUAAGCCUCGGCUAACUACGUGCCAGCAGCCGCGGUAAAACGUAGGAGGCGAGCGUUAUCCGGAUUUACUGGGCGUAAAGCGCGUGCAGGCGGAUUGGAGAGUUGGAUGUGAAAGCUCCCGGCUUAACUGGGAGAGGUCGUUCAAUACUUCCAGUCUUGAGUGCAGUAGAGGGUAGUGGAAUUCCAGGUGUAGUGGUGAAAUGCGUAGAUAUCCGGAGGAACACCAGUGGCGAAAGCGGCUUCCUGGACUGUAACUGACGCUCAGACGCGAAAGCUAGGGUAGCAAACG